CAUCCAUCGAGACCGGCAGAGGGACAGGCCCUUUGAAGCCGGGGCAACCAGCGCAGCGCACAGCCGCGCCAGGUGCCAAUUCCUGCGAUGGCCCGCGCAUGCGUGGGCCAUCGGAAGAUGGCCG
RNAcentral lists this non-coding RNA (124 nucleotides) under Lysobacterales bacterium. RNAcentral describes it as "Xanthomonadales bacterium SAM-I sequence". It matches the Rfam family "SAM riboswitch aptamer (S box leader)". Rfam says of the family: The SAM riboswitch is found upstream of a number of genes which code for proteins involved in methionine or cysteine biosynthesis in Gram-positive bacteria. Lineage: Bacteria; Pseudomonadati; Pseudomonadota; Gammaproteobacteria; Lysobacterales. The record is from RNAcentral.